Molecule: unclassified non-coding RNA, 380 nt
Filed under: uncultured bacterium
Lineage: Bacteria
Description: contains 16S-23S intergenic spacer region
Source: RNAcentral
UCCGGUUUGUCACCGGCAGUCACGUUAGAGUGCCCGGCGUAACCCGUUGGCAACUAACAUCGAGGGUUGCGCUCGCUGCGGGACUUAACCCAACAUCUCACGACACGAGCUGACGACAGCCAUGCAGCACCUGAACCGGAAGUCCCCGAAGGGAAAACCUCAUCUCUGAGGCGGUCCUCCGUUGUCUAGCCCAGGUAAGGUUCUUCGCGUUGCGUCGAAUUGAACCACAUGCUCCGCUGCUUGUGCGGGUCCCCGUCAAUUCCUUUGAGUUUUAGCCUUGCGGCCGUACUCCCCAGGCGGGGCACUUAAUGCGUUAGCUCCGGCACGGGAGGAGUCGACACCUCCCACACCUAGUGCCCAUCGUUUACGGCGUGGACUAC